RNAcentral lists this ribosomal RNA (283 nucleotides) under uncultured bacterium. Its description in RNAcentral is "partial 16S ribosomal RNA". It matches the Rfam family "Bacterial small subunit ribosomal RNA", at positions 773 to 1060 of the family's 1533-position model. The record is from RNAcentral.
GUGGAUUAGAUACCCGAGUAGUCCACGCCCUAAACGAUGAUGACUCGAUGUUUGCGAUAUACCGUAAGCGUCCAAGCGAAAGCGUUAAGUCAUCCACCUGGGGAGUACGCCCGCAAGGGUGAAACUCAAAGGAAUUGACGGGGGCCCGCACAAGCGGAGGAGCAUGUGGUUUAAUUCGAUGAUACGCGAGGAACCUUACCCGGGCUUGAAAGUUACUGAAGGGCGCAGAGACGCGCCCGUCCUUCGGGACAGGAAACUAGGUGCUGCACGGUCGUCGUCAGCU